ACUCAAAUGAAUAGACGGGAGCCCGCACAAGCAGUGGAGUAUGUGGUUUAAUUCGACGCAACGCGAAGAACCUUACCAGAGCUUGACAUCCCAAGAAGGGGGAUUAAUGUCCCCUGUGCCCUUCGGGGAGCUUGGAGACAGGUGGUGCAUGGUUGUCGUCAGCUCGUGUCGUGAGAUGUUGGGUUAAGUCCCGCAACGAGCGCAACCCCUACGGUUAGUUGCUACGAAAGAGCACUCUGGCCGGACUGCCGUUGAUAAGACGGAGGAAGGCGGGGAUGAGGUCAAAUCAUCAUGCCCCUUACGUUCUGGGCUACACACGUACUACAAUGGCGCAAACAAAGGGGAGCGAACACGCGAGUGGAAGCAAAUCUCAAAAAAGGCGCCUCAGUUCGGAUUGCAGUCUGAAACUCGACUGCAUGAAGCUGGAAUUGCUAGUAAUCGCAGGUCAGCAUACUGCGGUGAAUACGUUCCCGGGCUUUGUACACACCGCCCGU
RNAcentral lists this ribosomal RNA (494 nucleotides) under uncultured bacterium. RNAcentral describes it as "bacterial SSU rRNA". It matches the Rfam family "Bacterial small subunit ribosomal RNA", at positions 899 to 1397 of the family's 1533-position model. The record is from RNAcentral.